GGACAGCCCCGUGGUACAGAAGACCGCCCCACACCCUCUCAUAAACUUUAUUACUCCCUACCCAUUGGUCCCUCUCGCCCUCUUCCCUCUGUUCCCUAUAUCUCCAGGGAAAUGCACCUAGCUUUCAGUCUGGCUCCGCUUGAUGGAAAACUCAGAGCUCGAGGAGGCGACCCUGACUCGACCCGGCAGAAAAGAGGAGACGGAAAACUCCCUCCCUAGAAUCUGGAAUGAACUCCUUGUGUCUGCGGUUCUUCCAGCCUCUCUGGCUUUGGCAGGACACUAGAUUCUGGCUUACCCUUCCCCGGCUCUCGGCUCUCGUCCCUGGCCAGCCACUGUGACCACUGCUUUGCCAGACCACCAGUGUGUCAGAUUCGUUUCCGUUCCGGAAGAUUGGUAUUUGUAUGGUUAUUGUUUUGAAAAAAAGAAAACGAAUUAAAUUAAGGGGAACCAAGGAGAGGGAUAUUUGUAGCUGAGGCCAUUGCUUCAGUGUGGAGCCCUGGUUGUGCCCUUCAGAGCCUCGGGCCGAGAGGGAGUGUGGGGGCUGUGGGGCCCCCGGGAAUUAGCGCGUGGAGUGAACGUCGGGGCAAGAGUUGGGGUGGAUUAGCGGGUUCAAAAGCAGGUCAGGGGGAGCUAAGCGUGGCGACCAAGUCCGUGCUAGGUCAAGGUCCCUGGCAAAGGCUGGCUCGAGCGAUCUGCAGGAAGCCGUACCAGUCUGCAGCUGCCCAGCCAGGGACCAGAGAAAUGCAACAGGAACCCAUGCUUGUCUGCAAUAAUUUACAGGACCCCGUUCGAGCUCCCUGGUUGAGGUGUGCUCACCUUGAAAGACAGGGUUUCUCUUUUACAUUUUAACCUUUUCUUUCUUUUCUUCUUUAUGUUUGAGACAGGACCUCACUCCGUAGCCCAGGUUGGCCUCCAGCUCAGGGCCAUCCUCCUGUGGAACCCCUGAGAUCACAGGCGUGUCUCACCAAGUCCCACCUCUUUGUUUUUAUACUCCCUCCUUUCUGACCAGAUAAAUACAUCGACCCACGCAGGUAGAAUUUUCUUCUCAAGAGUCUCUUUCUCCUCCUGACAUCGGGGGCCAUGUGAGUCAAAUGGGGGUUGGGGAUUUCUGAGACACAAUAAAAGAAUCGCAUCCUCCUCUUCCCGCUCGAGUACCUGCGAUAGGGAGGGAGAGCUGGGAGUAGCUGAGUCGCUCUUUCCUUUGCGAAAGGGAGAGAGGUGACUCUGAGCCCCGAACGUUUGUAGGGCCCUGGAUAGUCUUCCCUUUUCUCCAAAAGACUCGUGAGUUUUAACAGGGAACAAACUUGGAGACGCGGUGGAUUUCGAAAUCCCGGUCUUGUUGGUGGCCUAAGAACAAUUUACAAAGCAGCCGGGGUGGGGAUGAAUCCUCGAGGUCUACCGAGGGUGGUGGCCCCUCCCGAGUCGCUUGGGACCUGGCGUGGGGCUUCUUUUCCUCCCGCGCUGUGCAGGCCCAGGGAGUGGGGUACGCGGAUGGACUUGGUUUUGUUGAAAUCCGGUGAAUCUGGACUCGGGUCGGGCUAGCUUCACGGAGUAAGCCUAUCCGAUCCCUGCAGGGGAGAAGUUUCCUACUUCCAGCUCUGGGGAAAGUACGGAAGGUGGCAAGGAGCUGUGGAAAGCGGAGGUGGCUUGGGAGAGGCCUGGGCUGUGGAGUCCCCGGGCGGCUCCCGCGACUUCUCUGGAAUGCUUCCGAGCUGCAGGCCCUGGAUGCUGGCGUGCAGGGUGUAGAGCGGCAGACCCGGAUGGACCGGCUGGUGCGGUGCUCGGGUCCGAGUGGAGUAGGUAGAAGCUUGGCUUCGAGACACAAUGCAAAUAAGCUGCUCGGUUCCCAGUCCCACGGAGCCUGACAUCUUUCCACUGGAAAAACGCCCGGAGCUGAAGGCACUGUCUCUCCUUCUUUAGGCGGGCGUUCUCGCUUCGCGGCUUGCAACCGGCCUCACAGUUCAGGCUUCAGCGGCAGAAAUAAUGGGACUGACGGCAAGAAAGUAUCCCAACGCUUUCCCGCUCUUCUGGAGCUGCCUCCACCCCAUCCCCACCGCCGCAUCCUUCUUUUUGAAUAAAUUUACCUUGAAAGUACAGUUUUGUAUGUAGCCUUUUCUGUUCUCUCUCUCUCUCUCUCUCUCUCUCUCUCUCUCUCUCUCUCUCUCUCUCUCUCUCUUUCUCUCUCCCUCCCUCCCUCCCUCCCUCCCUCCCUCCCUCCCUCCCCCCUCCCUCCCUCCCUCCCUCCCUCCCUCCCUCCCUCCCUCUCUCUCUCUCUCUCUCUCUCUCUCUCUCUCUUUCUUUCUUUCUUUCUUUCUUUCUUUCUUUCUUUUUUUGACAGGGUUUCUCUGUAUAGCCCUGGCUGUCCUGGAACUCACUCUGUAGACCAGGCUGGCCUCAGAAGUUCGCCUGCCUCUGCCUCCCAAGUGCUGCGAUUAAAGGCCUGUGCCACCACUGCUCUCUUUCUUUCUUUUAAUACAAACUAGUGUACUAGUUUUUUUAAGGAUUCGUUCUCUCUCUCUCUCUCUCUCUCUCUCUCUCUCUCUCUUUCUCUCUCUCUGUGUGUGUGUGUGGUGGGCGACAGAAGAGGGUGUCGGAUCCCCUAUAGCUGAAACCAGAGUAGAUCUCUUAACCUCUGAGCCAUCCCUCUAGUGCCCUUAACUAGAAUUUUAAAAUUUACAUCUGUUUAUUAUGUGUGUACAUUUAUGCGCAUCCGCAAGCCAGGAGUCAGAGGACAACUUUUGGGAAUGGGCUCUGUUCAACCCAGUAGGUUCUGGGAAUGGAUCAAAUCAUUAGCUUGGUGCUAGGCGUCUUUACCCGCGGAGUCAUUUCUCUGUCCCUUCUUUGUUUUUUCAAUUGACCUUGCAGUUGAAAUAGCUCACAACUAAAGCCAUCCUGUCUGCAGCCUUCUCCACCCAGAGCAGAGCCUUUGGAUAUUUAUUUUACAGGCUCAACAGCACAGAGAUAUCUCCACUGUGGAGAAACUAUCACCGACCUACUUUCUAAAGGGGACGGUGAGGCAUUUACUUCGGAAUUUGUUCGGCAAGAGUCGGGAUCUCAGAUACCAACACUGCGUCCUCAUUCUAAGACUUCUUCUGAACUCGAACCUAUGCCGGGCGUCCCUGAACAGAGCACAGGUGGAGAGCCUUCUAGGGAGAAGGAAGAGAGGUCACCAAAGCUUGUGGUGAGCUCCCUCCCCCAUCUCCGAGGACCGCUGUUGCUCAGAUAAAGCUCAGAGAGGUAUUUGAAAAGGAGAAACCCCAGAGCCAGAGCCAGCCGACCUAGGGGUCGCGGCUGGCAAAGACUCUUGGCUCUGGGAUUGCAAAGGGACACUUUCUAGUAGUGGGUUCAUUUCAGAGAGCGGGUGGAAAAGCCACGGAAGGCCACGCCCUGGCUAUCCUGGUUAAGGGACUAGGAAAUAGAUCUCAUCCUGUGUUUGUAGGACUUGAGAAGGUUAGAGUAUCAUUAGAUUAAGUAAUUGUUGUGGUUUGGGUCUUGUUAAAAGAUAUAUAUAUAUAUAUAUAUAUAUAUAUAUAUAUAUAUAUAUAUAGAGAGAGAGAGAGAGAGAGAGAGAGAGUGAGUCUGGAGUUCAGGCUGGUCUGGAACCCUUGAUCCUCUAGCCUCUACCAUCCAAUGCUGGGGUGACAGGUGUGCACCCCUCUACAGGGCACAGUGUAAAACAAUUUACUAAGUUUGAAUUUUGUCAUAACAAGAAUAUCUAUGUGUCUUAAGACUAACUUUAAAAAAUAACUAAAAUUAAAUUAAAAAAUUUAAGAUUGGCUUAAAAAAAUCAGGACUCAGCAGAACCUCCUAGUAUUACUAAAGAGAAGUGUGUAGGAGUCUCUCUCAUAAACACAUCUCAGGAGAUGGAGAUGUAUGACUCCAGUAACAAUAAGCUAUUCCGUUUUUUUACAACAAGGCUUCCUACUGCCCCAGAGAGCUGGGGGCAUCUUAGCUCUCCCGGGCUAGGUGGAACCAUCUGUCCUUUGGCUUUUGGCAGCAGGAGAAUCAGAAGGUCAAGGGCACCAUUGGCCAUAGUUUGAAUUCGAGGCCACUCUGGGUUAUA
RNAcentral lists this long non-coding RNA (4063 nucleotides) under Mus musculus (house mouse). RNAcentral describes it as "ventral anterior homeobox 2, opposite strand". Lineage: Eukaryota; Metazoa; Chordata; Mammalia; Rodentia; Muridae. The record is from RNAcentral.